Molecule: ribosomal RNA, 168 nt
Filed under: uncultured bacterium
Lineage: Bacteria
Description: partial 16S ribosomal RNA
Rfam family: Bacterial small subunit ribosomal RNA
Source: RNAcentral
AAUGGGCGAAAGCCUGAUCCAGCCAUGCCGCGUGUGUGAAGAAGGUCUUCGGAUUGUAAAGCACUUUAAGUUGGGAGGAAGGGCAUUAAGCUAAUACCUUGCUGUUUUGACGUUACCGACAGAAUAAGCACCGGCUAACUUCGUGCCAGCAGCCGCGGUAAUAGCUCC